Molecule: transfer RNA, 85 nt
Filed under: Felis catus (domestic cat)
Lineage: Eukaryota; Metazoa; Chordata; Mammalia; Carnivora; Felidae
Rfam family: tRNA
About the family: Transfer RNA (tRNA) molecules are approximately 80 nucleotides in length. Their secondary structure includes four short double-helical elements and three loops (D, anti-codon, and T loops). Further hydrogen bonds mediate the characteristic L-shaped molecular structure. tRNAs have two regions of fundamental functional importance: the anti-codon, which is responsible for specific mRNA codon recognition, and the 3' end, to which the tRNAs corresponding amino acid is attached (by aminoacyl-tRNA synthetases). tRNAs cope with the degeneracy of the genetic code in two manners: having more than one tRNA (with a specific anti-codon) for a particular amino acid; and 'wobble' base-pairing, i.e. permitting non-standard base-pairing at the 3rd anti-codon position.
Source: Rfam by way of RNAcentral
GCCUGGGUGGCUCAGUCGGCUAAGUGUCUGACUUCGGCUCAGGGCAUGAUCUCGCAGUUCGUGAGUUCAAGCCCCACUUCGGGCU